GUACCCUCAAGCUCUGCUUGGUGUUGGGUGUUUGUCCUUUCCCUGCGUCAGGACUCGCCUCAAAUUCAUUGGCAGCCGAUGUAUUGGUUUGAAGCGCAGCACAAUUUUGCGAUUCAGGCUGGUAACCAUGGACGUCCAGUAAGCACAUUUUAACAC
Molecule: unclassified non-coding RNA, 156 nt
Filed under: uncultured Chaetosphaeronema
Lineage: Eukaryota; Fungi; Ascomycota; Dothideomycetes; Pleosporales; Phaeosphaeriaceae
Description: partial internal transcribed spacer 2
Source: RNAcentral